GACGAACGCUGGCGGCGUGCCUAAUACAUGCAAGUAGAACGCUGAAGAGAGGAGCUUGCUCUUCUUGGAUGAGUUGCGAACGGGUGAGUAACGCGUAGGUAACCUGCCUUGUAGCGGGGGAUAACUAUUGGAAACGAUAGCUAAUACCGCAUAACAAUGGAUGACACAUGUCAUUUAUUUGAAAGGGGCAAUUGCUCCACUACAAGAUGGACCUGCGUUGUAUUAGCUAGUAGGUGAGGUAACGGCUCACCUAGGCGACGAUACAUAGCCGACCUGAGAGGGUGAUCGGCCACACUGGGACUGAGACACGGCCCAGACUCCUACGGGAGGCAGCAGUAGGGAAUCUUCGGCAAUGGGGGCAACCCUGACCGAGCAACGCCGCGUGAGUGAAGAAGGUUUUCGGAUCGUAAAGCUCUGUUGUAAGUCAAGAACGAGUGUGAGAGUGGAAAGUUCACACUGUGACGGUAGCUUACCAGAAAGGGACGGCUAACUACGUGCCAGCAGCCGCGGUAAUACGUAGGUCCCGAGCGUUGUCCGGAUUUAUUGGGCAUAAAGCGAGCGCAGGCGGUUUGAUAAGUCUGAAGUUAAAGGCUGUGGCUCAACCAUAGUUCGCUUUGGAAACUGUCAAACUUGAGUGCAGAAGGGGAGAGUGGAAUUCCAUGUGUAGCGGUGAAAUGCGUAGAUAUAUGGAGGAACACCAGUGGCGAAGGCGGCCUACUGGACAGUGACUGACGUUGAG
This 739-nucleotide ribosomal RNA is filed under the name uncultured Bacilli bacterium. RNAcentral's name for it is "bacterial SSU rRNA". It matches the Rfam family "Bacterial small subunit ribosomal RNA", at positions 28 to 750 of the family's 1533-position model. The record is from RNAcentral. Lineage: Bacteria; Bacillati; Bacillota; Bacilli.